Coregonus clupeaformis (lake whitefish) is the source of this 582-nucleotide long non-coding RNA. RefSeq lists it as uncharacterized. The record is from RefSeq and is a predicted model, not a curated record. NCBI's taxonomy places the organism in Eukaryota, Metazoa, Chordata, Actinopteri, Salmoniformes, Salmonidae. The transcript has 3 exons.
UUCCCAUAAUGCAUGUUUGCCCGGGACAUUGACGGUGGAGGAAGGUCCAUGAGUUUUCACUGUUCGCCGGUAAUGAAAGUGCGUACUGUGAGUAUACUUAUUUCAAUAAGUGUCUGCCUUACACAGUAAAUAUUUUACGUUAUCGAGCUGUGUGUACGUGUGUGCUAGCGUGAAACGAACAAUGCUAAACAACAUAAUGUGAGUGUGUUAUCAUGAUGCUAACCAGGCCUGUGUUUGUAUUUCUUCCUAGGCUCAAGUGUGUGGUUGUGAGAUCAUCUCGAAAUCCUUUUAACAGUUCAGAUAUCGGACUACAAAGAGUGCUACAGAGAGCCAGCGUUUCACCAUCAGACAGGUGCUAAUAGGCUGAAGUUGGCCCAAUGGAGUGGAAGUGCAAGUUGUGUUCUGCAACUUCAAAUACCCGGGGACAAUUAUUUUGGCACUAUACUGUACUGCAUAGCCAAUAUUCAAGAGUGUCCCCCCUGCCAUGUCUCUAUGACAGUUGCAUUUGUACUUUUCCAUCAUUCGAAGCGAUGAAAGCUCAUCUGUCAAGAUGUCAUAAUGAUUCAUGUAGAGUAGAUGCAA